This 433-nucleotide ribosomal RNA is filed under the name uncultured bacterium. Its description in RNAcentral is "partial 16S ribosomal RNA". It matches the Rfam family "Bacterial small subunit ribosomal RNA", at positions 29 to 507 of the family's 1533-position model. The record is from RNAcentral.
AACGAACGCUGGCGGCAUGCCUAACACAUGCAAGUCGAACGAGACCUUCGGGUCUAGUGGCGCACGGGUGCGUAACGCGUGGGAACCUGCCCUUAGGUUCGGAAUAACUCCCCGAAAGGGGUGCUAAUACCGGAUAAUGUCUUCGGACCAACGAUUUAUCGCCUUUGGAUGGGCCCGCGUUGGAUUAGCUAGUUGGUAGGGUAAAAGCCUACCAAGGCGACGAUCCAUAGCUGGUCUGAGAGGAUGAUCAGCCACACUGGGACUGGGACACGGCCCAGACUCCUACGGGAGGCAGCAGUGGGGAAUAUUGGACAAUGGGCGAAAGCCUGAUCCAGCAAUGCCGCGUGAGUGAUGAAGGCCUUAGGGUUGUAAAGCUCUUUUACCCGGGAUGAUAAUGACAGUACCGGGAGAAUAAGCUCCGGCUAACUCCGUG